GAUGAAGAACGCAGCGAAAUGCGAUAAGUAAUGUGAAUUGCAGAAUUCAGUGAAUCAUCGAAUCUUUGAACGCACCUUGCGCUCCUUGGUAUUCCGAGGAGCAUGCCUGUUUGAGUGUCAUUAAUAUAUCAACCUCUUCAGCUUAUGCUUGUUGAGUGUUGGAUGGUGGGGGUUUGCUGGUGUCUUAUGAAGUCAGCUCCUCUGAAAUGCAUUAGCGGAACAAUUUGUUGACCGUUCAUUGGUGUGAUAAAAAUAUCUACGCUAUUGACGUCAGUCAGUUCAGCUUCUAACAGUCCAUUGACUUGGACAGAUUUUUCAUUAAUGUGACCUCAAAUCAGGUAGGACUACCCGCUGAACUUAAGCAUAUCAAUAAGCGGAGGA
RNAcentral lists this unclassified non-coding RNA (381 nucleotides) under soil metagenome. RNAcentral describes it as "partial contains 5.8S ribosomal RNA, internal transcribed spacer 2, and large subunit ribosomal RNA". The stretch from base 1 to 120 matches the Rfam family "5.8S ribosomal RNA", at positions 35 to 154 of the family's 154-position model. The record is from RNAcentral.